GCCCCCUUGGCCUAAUGGCUAAGGCGUCAGACUUCUAAUCUGAAGAUUGGGAGUUCGAGCCUCCCAGGGGGCU
Transfer RNA from Coniochaeta ligniaria NRRL 30616, 73 nucleotides. It matches the Rfam family "tRNA". From Rfam's summary of the family: Transfer RNA (tRNA) molecules are approximately 80 nucleotides in length. Their secondary structure includes four short double-helical elements and three loops (D, anti-codon, and T loops). Lineage: Eukaryota; Fungi; Ascomycota; Sordariomycetes; Coniochaetales; Coniochaetaceae. The record is from Rfam.